GACGAACGCUGGCGGUGUGCCUAAUACAUGCAAGUCGAACGACAGCAUCCUGUGCUUGCUCUGGUCAUUCUAGCGGCUAACGUGUGAGUUACACGUGGUUAACCUUCUCCUCAUUUGGGGUUAACAUCCGGCAACGGCUGCUCAAACCGCAUUCGUCUAUGUACCGCAUGGUUUACGGAGGCAUAGAGGCCUCCACUUCUGCUCUUGGCUGGACCCGCGUUGCAUUUCCUAGUUGGUGAGGCAACGGCCUACCAAGGCCAGGAUGCAUAGCCGACCGGAGAGGGUGAUCGGACACAUUGGGACUGAGACACGGCCCAAACUCCUACGGGAGGCAGCAGGAGGGAAUCUUCCACAAUGGACGAAAGUCUGACGGAGCAACGCCGCGUGAGUGAAGAAGGUAUUCGGAUCGUAAAACGCUGUUGUUAGUGAAGAACAAGUGCGGGAGUAACGGUUAACGGCUUGACGGGAUCUAAGCAGAAAGCCACGGCUAACUACGUG
This 498-nucleotide ribosomal RNA is filed under the name uncultured bacterium. RNAcentral's name for it is "partial 16S ribosomal RNA". It matches the Rfam family "Bacterial small subunit ribosomal RNA", at positions 28 to 507 of the family's 1533-position model. The record is from RNAcentral.